AAACUACAAAAUAGUAACUCCAAGUUAAAUCUAAGAGGAAUCCUAAGCUUGGAUUUCAAAUGGAAAAUCUACUGCCACUCAAGGUACUGUCUGUUAAAACUUACAGCACUAAAAGCCUAAAUUCAGCUGCUGGUACCACUGGAGAUCUUGUAUAUCCAGCUUGCUGAGCAAAAUUCAUACUGCUAGUAAUCAAGAAGCUAUAUAUCCAAAACUUGUCAAACAAAAGACACAAAUCUAGCUCUGUGCAUAACAGAGAAUAAGAGUAAACUGUUGCAUUUGCAUUGUGAAUCUAUAUAUUAUUCCAUUUCCAUCCAUGCUUCUCAA
RNAcentral lists this unclassified non-coding RNA (324 nucleotides) under Hevea brasiliensis (rubber tree). The record is from RNAcentral. Lineage: Eukaryota; Viridiplantae; Streptophyta; Magnoliopsida; Malpighiales; Euphorbiaceae.